RNAcentral lists this ribosomal RNA (308 nucleotides) under uncultured bacterium. Its description in RNAcentral is "partial 16S ribosomal RNA". It matches the Rfam family "Bacterial small subunit ribosomal RNA", at positions 505 to 807 of the family's 1533-position model. The record is from RNAcentral.
GAGACAGCAGCCGCCGCGGUAAUACGGAGGGGGCUAGCGUUGUUCGGAAUUACUGGGCGUAAAGCGCACGUAGGCGGCUUGGUAAGUUAGGGGUGAAAGCCCGGAGCUCAACUCCGGAAUUGCCUUUAAGACUGCCGAGCUAGCAGGUGAGAGAGGUAAGUGGAAUUCCGAGUGUAGAGGUGAAAUUCGUAGAUAUUCGGAAGAACACCAGUGGCGAAGGCGGCUUACUGGCUCAUACUGGACGCUGAUGCACGAAAGCGUGGGGAUCAAACAGGAUUAGAUACCCCCGUAGUCCCUGUCUCUUAUAC